This 108-nucleotide microRNA precursor is filed under the name Canis lupus dingo (dingo). RNAcentral's name for it is "mir-8834 microRNA precursor family". It matches the Rfam family "mir-8834 microRNA precursor family". Lineage: Eukaryota; Metazoa; Chordata; Mammalia; Carnivora; Canidae. The record is from Rfam by way of RNAcentral.
AGGAGGAACAACCACAGUGGCGGCGGCCAGCUCUGGAGCCCUGGAUUCAGCUCCUGCAGUAACUACGGAGCUCUCCGUCUGCAGGGGCCUGGAUGCUCCAGAGGCAGG